Molecule: unclassified non-coding RNA, 307 nt
Filed under: fungal sp.
Lineage: Eukaryota; Fungi
Description: partial internal transcribed spacer region
Rfam family: Eukaryotic small subunit ribosomal RNA (bases 1-46)
Source: RNAcentral
AAGUCGUAACAAGGUAACCGUAGGUGAACCUGCGGUUGGAUCAUUACCAAUUUUUCCUUUUUUCGCAAAAGAAUUCGUUCUUUUGUGAAGGAAGUGGAAACCCACUUGUGAACCUGUAAUUGUGCAUUGGCGGCUGUUCAGUGCCUUGUGCUGGACUUGCAUUCAAUUGCAAAGGCCGUCAAUUUACCAUUUCCCUUCAAUCUUUUAUUUUUUUUUACCAUUUGUGACUUUUCUUGCCUUCUUUAUUCUUUCUCUGAAAUGGAAAAGAAACCAAGAACAACUAUUAACAAUGGAUCUCUUGGCUCUC